This is a small nuclear RNA of Melanotaenia boesemani (Boeseman's rainbowfish), 193 nucleotides long. RefSeq annotates it as U2 spliceosomal RNA. The record is from RefSeq and is a predicted model, not a curated record. Lineage: Eukaryota; Metazoa; Chordata; Actinopteri; Atheriniformes; Melanotaeniidae. The transcript has a single exon.
AUCGCUUCUCGGCCUUUUGGCUAAGAUCAAGUGUAGUAUCUGUUCUUAUCAGUUUAAUAUCUGAUAUGUCCUCCAUGUGAGGGCUACAUAUUAAAUGGAUUUUUAGGGAAUGGGAGUCUGAAAGAGGAGCUCGCUCCGUUCACUCCAUGCAUCGACCUGGCGUUGCAGUGUCGCCAGGAGCGGUGUGCUCUCU